CGGGACGGGUGAGUAAUGUCUGGGAAACUGCCUGAUGGAGGGGGGUAACUACUGGAAACGGUAGCUAAUACCGCAUAACGUCGCAAGACCAAGAGGGGACCUUCGGGCCUCUUGCCAUCGGAUGUGCCCAGAUGGGAUUAGCUAGUAGGUGGGGUAACGGCUCACCUAGGCGACGAUCCCUAGCUGGUCUGAGAGGAUGACCAGCCACACUGGAACUGAGACACGGUCCAG
Molecule: ribosomal RNA, 231 nt
Filed under: uncultured bacterium
Lineage: Bacteria
Description: partial 16S ribosomal RNA
Rfam family: Bacterial small subunit ribosomal RNA
Source: RNAcentral